RNAcentral lists this ribosomal RNA (220 nucleotides) under uncultured bacterium. RNAcentral's name for it is "partial 16S ribosomal RNA". It matches the Rfam family "Bacterial small subunit ribosomal RNA", at positions 1283 to 1500 of the family's 1533-position model. The record is from RNAcentral.
CAAUCUCAGUUCGGAUUGUAGUCUGCAACUCGACUACAUGAAGCUGGAAUCGCUAGUAAUCGCGGAUCAGAAUGCCGCGGUGAAUACGUUCCCGGGUCUUGUACACACCGCCCGUCACACCAUGGGAGUCAGUAACGCCCGAAGCCGGUGACCCAACCUAAACAGGAGGGAGCCGUCGAAGGCGGGACGGAUGACUGGGGUGAAGUCGUAACAAGGUAAC